Molecule: ribosomal RNA, 449 nt
Filed under: uncultured bacterium
Lineage: Bacteria
Description: partial 16S ribosomal RNA
Rfam family: Bacterial small subunit ribosomal RNA
Source: RNAcentral
GUCGAGAAUCUUUCACAAUGGGGGCAACCCUGAUGGAGCGACGCCGCGUGGAGGAUAAGGUCUUCGGAUUGUAAACUCCUGUCAUGCGUGAACAAGGUUACUUGGUUAAUACCUGGGCAAAUUGAUGGUAACGCAAGAGGAAGAGACGGCUAACUCUGUGCCAGCAGCCGCGGUAAUACAGAGGUCUCAAGCGUUGUUCGGAAUCACUGGGCGUAAAGGGUGCGUAGGUGGCGUGGUAAGUCAGUUGUGAAAGCCCGUGGCUCAACCUCGGAACUGCAUCCGAUACUGCCAUGCUAUAGUACUGGAGAGGUGACUAGAAUUCUCGGUGUAGCAGUGAAAUGCGUAGAUAUCGAGAGGAAUACCAAAGGCGUAGGCAGGUCACUGGACAGUUACUGACACUGAGGCACGAAACCUAAGGUAGCGAAUGGGAUUAGAUACCCCGGUAGUCC